GGUCCAGCCUGCCCUGUGACUAUAUGUUAAACGGCCGCGGUAUUUUAACCGUGCGAAGGUAGCGCAAUCACUUGUCUUUUAAAUGGAGACCUGUAUGAAUGGCAUAACGAGGGCUUAGCUGUCUCCUUUUUCAGGUCAGUGAAGUUGAUCUUCCCGUGCAGAAGCGGGUAUAUUUACAUAAGACGAGAAGACCCUAUGGAGCUUUAGACACCAAGGUACACCAUGUUAAACAACCUUUAAUAAAAGGCUAAACCAAAUGAAUCGUACCCGUAUGUCUUUGGUUGGGGCGACCGCGGGGAAAUAAAGAACCCCCACGUGGAAUGGGAGCACUUCCUCCUACACCUAAGAGUUGCAACUCUAAUAAACAGAAAUUCUGACCAUAAGAUCCGGCAAUGCCGAUCAACGGACCGAGUUACCCUAGGGAUAACAGCGCAAUCCCCUUUUAGAGCCCAUAUCGACAAGGGGGUUUACGACCUCGAUGUUGGAUCAGGACAUCCUAAUGGUGCAGCCGCUAUUAAGGGUUCGUUUGUUCAACGAUUAAAGUCCUACGUGAUC
This 555-nucleotide ribosomal RNA is filed under the name Kali kerberti. Its description in RNAcentral is "partial 16S ribosomal RNA". It matches the Rfam family "Bacterial large subunit ribosomal RNA", at positions 1851 to 2605 of the family's 2925-position model. The record is from RNAcentral. Lineage: Eukaryota; Metazoa; Chordata; Actinopteri; Scombriformes; Chiasmodontidae.